GGAAUUGUUCGCAAUGGGCGCAAGCCUGAUCCAGCAAUGCCGCGUGAGUGAUGAAGGCCUUAGGGUUGUAAAGCUCUUUUACCCGGGAUGAUAAUGACAGUACCGGGAGAAUAAGCCCCGGCUGACUCCGUGCCAGCAGCCGCGGUAAUACGGAGGGGGCUAGCGUUGUUCGGAAUUACUGGGCGUAAAGCGCACGUAGGCGGCUUUGUAAGUUAGAGGUGAAAGCCCGGAGCUCAACUCCGGAAUUGCCUUUAAGACUGCAUCGCUCGAAUCAUGGAGAGGUGAGUGGAAUUCCGAGUGUAGAGGUGAAAUUCGUAGAUAUUCGGAAGAACACCAGUGGCGAAGGCGACUCACUGGACAUGUAUUGACGCUGAGGUGCGAAAGCGUGGGGAGCAA
This 396-nucleotide ribosomal RNA is filed under the name uncultured bacterium. RNAcentral's name for it is "bacterial SSU rRNA". It matches the Rfam family "Bacterial small subunit ribosomal RNA", at positions 358 to 771 of the family's 1533-position model. The record is from RNAcentral.